CUUGGCUCACGUCGAGCUGGUUGCACUCAGUUCAACUCCCUGGGACUCUGACACAGGAACUGCUGGAAAGUCAAGCCUUGACUGUUCUUCCUUAUCCCUGAUGACAGAGUCUCUGACAGCAAAGUGUGUCAUUGGUGCUGUGUUGGAUCAGCAAGUAGGCACAGUGCAUGCCUAAAACCGUAAACAACCGUCACCUCGUCCAGAAGGAACCCAGCCCAGGGCCUGGUUCAAAGCAGGCAGCAUGGCUCAAUGAAUGACUGCUACAUGGAUGGAUGCUCUAUAUCAUUCUGGUUCUGGAAAAAACCUGACUACAGUUCCAACUCUUCCCCCUUUCCACCUUGUUUCUAACCCCUCCUCUCCAAUUCACAAUGGAAUGGGGAUGGACACAUAGAAGAGCGAUAUCUUGGUAAGCCUGGUUGAAUAUCCUCUUCAUAAACCAUCAUGGCUCCGGAGUCGCCCUUAUAUUCCUCAGAACAGCCUAAUUAUGACAUUUCAGGGGGGUCUGUCUCCGCCACGAGCUCGGGUGAUCUUGGAAGGUGGAAGUUAUGUCUGGCUCAUCUCUGAGUCACAGCACCUGGCACCUGAGGCCAGACACUUAACACUACUCUUCAGUGAUUGCCCCCUGUCUGUUUGGCUCACACACUAGACUAUGAGCUCCUUGUGGACAAGGACCAAGUUUUAUCCAUUUUUGCAUUUUCCCUCCUAUAGGGCCUUGUUUAUUUGUUAUGUUGUUGACUGAUAAGUG
Long non-coding RNA from Ailuropoda melanoleuca (giant panda), 745 nucleotides. RefSeq lists it as uncharacterized. Lineage: Eukaryota; Metazoa; Chordata; Mammalia; Carnivora; Ursidae. The transcript is spliced from 3 exons. The record is from RefSeq and is a predicted model, not a curated record.